CGCGGAUUGUGGGAGGGAGGAGGCUCCGAACACUCGGGAAGCCUAGUGGACGAGGGGACUGGGGACAAGGGGGCUGCCAACACCCAGCGACGGAGACGGGGACUCCGACAUGGCACUUGUUGGAGGGUUUCAUGAAACUCAGGAACUGGGUCUCUUCUGAGGUAGACAGACCACAACUGCAGAGCAUCGUCAGACAGGAGAUAAAUACGUCCAUGUACAACACGCAGCAAAAUGAGGACCUCUUGAGGGAAGCCCAGUCACCCAAAGGAACGGAUGAUUCUCUAACUUCAGAUGGCCCACACCGCAUUCCCCUUCGAGGCAGCCCAGCAACCUGGGGAAGGAACAUAGUGUGGCGGGAAGAGUCCUGCCCAAGGCCACCAGCCCAAAAGGGGCAGAAUUGGCACUUGCACUCAAGGACUUUGCUUCAGCCCUGAACACAGCCU
RNAcentral lists this long non-coding RNA (443 nucleotides) under Pan troglodytes (chimpanzee). RNAcentral describes it as "long non-coding RNA NONPTRT003890". The record is from RNAcentral. Lineage: Eukaryota; Metazoa; Chordata; Mammalia; Primates; Hominidae.